Molecule: transfer RNA, 82 nt
Organism: Lepisosteus oculatus (spotted gar)
Lineage: Eukaryota; Metazoa; Chordata; Actinopteri; Semionotiformes; Lepisosteidae
Rfam family: tRNA
About the family: Transfer RNA (tRNA) molecules are approximately 80 nucleotides in length.
Source: Rfam
GACAAGGUGGCUGAGUGGUUAAGGUGAUAGACUACUAAUCCAUUGUGCUCUGCACACGUGGGUUUGAAUCCCACCCUUGUUG